UAAGGAAUAUUGGUCAAUGGGCGCAAGCCUGAACCAGCCAUGCCGCGUGCAGGAAGAAGGCCCUCUGGGUUGUAAACUGCUUUUAUCAGGGGAUAAGUAAAGGCUAUACGCCGUUGUGAAGGUACCUGAUGAAUAAGCCACGGCUAACUACGUGCCAGCAGCCGCGGUAAUACGUAGGUGGCAAGCGUUGUCCGGAUUUACUGGGUUUAAAGGGUGCGUAGGCGGCAAAAUAAGUCAGUGGUUAAAUCGUGUGGCUCAACCAUACCCCGCCAUUGAUACUGUUAUGCUUGAAUACCUGUGAGGAAGCUGGAAUACGUGGUGUAGCGGUGAAAUGCAUAGAUAUCACGUAGAACACCGAUUGCGAAGGCAGGCUUCUGACAGGCGAUUGACGCUGAGGCAC
This 400-nucleotide ribosomal RNA is filed under the name uncultured bacterium. RNAcentral describes it as "bacterial SSU rRNA". It matches the Rfam family "Bacterial small subunit ribosomal RNA", at positions 355 to 754 of the family's 1533-position model. The record is from RNAcentral.